Molecule: non-coding RNA, 2994 nt
Organism: Equus caballus (horse)
Lineage: Eukaryota; Metazoa; Chordata; Mammalia; Perissodactyla; Equidae
Source: RefSeq, a predicted model, not a curated record
AAUCCAUUCCCACCCUGCUUAAUACAUUUUCAUGUUUCUUCCUUGACAGGCCUGGGCACGUCAGAUUUGGGGUCCCACCGUCUCGGAUCCCACGCUUCUGGUGUGCUUGGGAACGGAAGGUGUUUGGGGACAAGCCGGGUAGGAGGCCCGGCUGCCGAAACAAAGAGAGAGAAGGCAAGUUCAGGGGCGCGAGCUAGGGCGGGGGGCGCCCACUGCUUCUUUCUGCAGCCUCCCGAGUCAGCGGGUGGCUCGCACACACACGGUGCCGGGGUUUAAGCCCUGUUUCUAACCACGUGCAUGUAGUUAAUCUCUCCGAGCCUCAGUGUUUAUGAAACAGGAAUAAUAAAAAUGCCCACCCAUACAGUUGCGUGAUUAAAUGGCGUGAUGCGCGAGGACAGCUAUGCCUGUGCCCGGCUCACGGUAAGGACUCGGCGAAUGUGCAAUGUGAAGGUAUGGAUAUUGUAAGUCAGCAAACAGAUGUUGCAUUCUGAGUCUAUGGUAGGAGUCAUUUCCAUGUAUCUCACUUAAAAAAAAUCACAAUAACCCUGGUGGGGGGGGGGUGUUGUUAUUAUCUUUACUUUGUAGAUAAGGAAGCCUAGACUUAGGAAGAAGAGUGGCAGAGCCAAGUGAAUCCCCCGGAGUUUGCCAAAUCCGCCAGUGGGGUCUCCCUGCCACACUCACCUGAGCCCAGGUUCAGGGCCUGCUGAGACCCACAGCACAACGAAGCCAGGUCUGACUGGAGGGUGGACCUCCGGGAGCUCAGCUGGGUAGUGCGAGGCCUCGUGUCAGCCAAUGGCAGCAGGUUUUACUGAUGCUUCUGGAGGGCCCACCCUCUGGAAAUGCAAGCCCGUUGGUUCCCAGGACUGGAAGCCUCAAGCACGUGUGGCCCUAGACCUCAAAGAGGGUUUGGCUGCUGUGGCUUCUCUGGCAACAAAAGCUGUUGAUUUGUUUUUUGAGCCGAGUGGCUAGUUGAGGGCACCAGCCACAACCUGCUAUUAGGAGCUCCUCACUGCGGUCUGCGUGGAGCGCUCAGGGAAGAGCCCCCGUGUGUCCUGGGAUCCCACGGUCUCUUGUUUCUUCCCUCUUGGUUGGCAUGUGGCUGGGGCAGGGGACACCCUGGGGAUUUCGGCGUGAGUCUCUCUCCCUCACAGGACUGUGCAGAGCUCUCCUGAAGCUGUGGGACCAACCACAUCUGAGGAGUCCUCACUCCCAGACCCCUGCCCUUUUAGGUCCUCGGUGUUUCCAAACACUUCUUCAGGACCCGUUCCUGGAGAACUUUCUGUAGAUAUGGAUGCAAAUACAGAAGGGUGGGCCCCAAAGCACUUCUGGUGAUUGAAUGUGCUGCCUCUGUGCAUUGCUUUGUCUCUCUCUGUCCACCCCUCACCAGAACGGAUGCUUCCCAGCUUGGGAUCUUGCCUCUCUUGUCCUCUGAUAUAUCCUCAGUGCCUAGAACACGGUGCUCUACAACAGCACAGAGCAGGGGAGCCACUAUUGAUCCAUGGGUGUGCCCUGGCAACUGGUACAGGGUCUUGUGCUCAGUGUCUGCUUCAUCAGGAGCUGGACCCAAUCACCCACUAAAUGGUCAUUUGUUAAUUAACUAAGGGAUGAAUACUGGAAGUAGACUGGUGAGGAAAAAACAAGAUUCGGUUCCAGCCUUCCUGGACUUGCUAGGGGAGUUGGACCAGUGGAGCUCAAUCCAGUUCAGCUUGACUCAACUCAACUGAGCUCAUCACAACUAAGUUCAGCUCAAUGCAGGUCAACUCAUCUUGACUUAGCUCAGUGCACAUCAGCUCCGCUCAACGCAGUGCUCAGAGUGGAUCAUCUCUGCUCAAUGGACCCACCUUGACUCGACUCAGUGCAGCUCAACUCAACACAACUCAGCUGUACUAGGCUUGCUUGGUUCAACUCCACUUAACUCAACUCAGCUCAACUGGGAACGGCUACAUUCAGUCAAUUAGGGAGGCAUUAACCGAGUAUCAAGGUUAGAGGCUCAUGUGGUUGAUUCCUCCAGGAACACAUACUUUAGUCAUUAAAAUAAGGAGUUUGGAUAUGAAGAAUGUAGAUAGUAAUAUACAAGCAAAGACUUUAAAGCUCAAUGGAAGGAACAGCUACUUCUCACUGGUGAAGGCUUCUUGAAAGUCAUAUUAUUUCAGGUACAAUUUAAUUUUGACUAAUGUUGGAGGGCUGGGGCAGGAAGUCAGUCCAGAAAGCGAGAACAGCCUGAGAAAUGCCUGGACAGGGUGGAAUAAAUGGCUUGACUUGGGAGUGGAUACAGAGGUGUAGAAGGUAAUAGGCGACAAGGCUAAAAGACAGUGAGGAGGGAGUUCAAGACAGUUCUGAAUGGCAUGCUUUUGGACUUUUUCUGUAAGAACAGAAAUCUGCUGCAUGAUUUCACUUCAUUCUUGCAAAAGCCCUAGGAAACAUUUAAGGUAGGGAUGGUGAUUUCCAUUUUACAGAUGAAGAAAUGGAGGCUUAGAGAAGUUAAUGCCUGCUCAGGUAGAGGUUGGUUGAGUUGGAAAUUAAAUCACAUCAAGAGAACUGUCUUCUUUGUUUUCAUUUCCUCAGCCCCACAGCUGGCACUCAGGAGCUGGAGUGUGGUAUGAUUCAAGCUAUAUUUUCACACCAUAAAUGUUGGGAGAACAGAGGAUGGGUGGGAAGGGAUGAGGCAGGAAGACUAGGUAGGAGAGAAGAGUAUCUGGGAAUCCAGGGCCCCAGGGAUGAUGGAGAGAGGAAGUGUUGGCUAAAUACUCAUCUAUAAGUUCCCACCAAAUGUCAUGCAGAAUCUACAGGGCAUUUAACAGCCUUGGAAGAUUAUGGUCUCGUCUUUCUAAGUCUCUUACAUUCUAAAACCUCAAGUUCUUCAUCUGCAAUUAUGGAAUUUAUAGUACUAUUCCCCCUAAGGAUUGUGAAAAUUCAAUUGGUAUACAAGUGCUUAAAAAGUCAAGUAUUUUUGAACUUAAGAAAAAUAUGGAGAGUAAUAUAACUAAUACUCAU